Molecule: ribosomal RNA, 850 nt
Filed under: uncultured bacterium
Lineage: Bacteria
Description: bacterial SSU rRNA
Rfam family: Bacterial small subunit ribosomal RNA
Source: RNAcentral
ACACAUGCAGUCGAGCGGGGAGAGUAGCUUGCUACUUAACCUAGCGGCGGACGGGUGAGUAAUGCUUAGGAAUCUGCCUAUUAGUGGGGGACAACAUCUCGAAAGGGAUGCUAAUACCGCAUACGUCCUACGGGAGAAAGCAGGGGACCUUCGGGCCUUGCGCUAAUAGAUGAGCCUAAGUCGGAUUAGCUAGUUGGUGGGGUAAAGGCCUACCAAGGCGACGAUCUGUAGCGGGUCUGAGAGGAUGAUCCGCCACACUGGGACUGAGACACGGCCCAGACUCCUACGGGAGGCAGCAGUGGGGAAUAUUGGACAAUGGGGGGAACCCUGAUCCAGCCAUGCCGCGUGUGUGAAGAAGGCCUUUUGGUUGUAAAGCACUUUAAGCGAGGAGGAGGCUACCGAGAUUAAUACUCUUGGAUAGUGGACGUUACUCGCAGAAUAAGCACCGGCUAACUCUGUGCCAGCAGCCGCGGUAAUACAGAGGGUGCAAGCGUUAAUCGGAUUUACUGGGCGUAAAGCGCGCGUAGGUGGCCAAUUAAGUCAAAUGUGAAAUCCCCGAGCUUAACUUGGGAAUUGCAUUCGAUACUGGUUGGCUAGAGUAUGGGAGAGGAUGGUAGAAUUCCAGGUGUAGCGGUGAAAUGCGUAGAGAUCUGGAGGAAUACCGAUGGCGAAAGCAGCCAUCUGGCCUAAUACUGACACUGACGUGCGAAAGCAUGGGGAGCAAACAGGAUUAGAUACCCUGGUAGUCCAUGCCGUAAACGAUGUCUACUAGCCGUUGGGGCCUUUGAGGCUUUAGUGGCGCAGCUAACGCGAUAAGUAGACCGCCUGGGGGGAGUACGGUCGCAAGACU